UGGGGAAUAUUGCACAAUGGGCGAAAGCCUGAUGCAGCGACGCCGCGUGAGGGAUGACGGCCUUCGGGUUGUAAACCUCUUUCAGCAGGGAAGAAGCGAAAGUGACGGUACCUGCAGAAGAAGCACCGGCUAACUACGUGCCAGCAGCCGCGGUAAUACGUAGGGUGCGAGCGUUGUCCGGAAUUAUUGGGCGUAAAGAGCUUGUAGGCGGUUUGUCGCGUCUGCAGUGAAAAUCCGAGGCUCAACCUCG
This 250-nucleotide ribosomal RNA is filed under the name uncultured bacterium. RNAcentral describes it as "partial 16S ribosomal RNA". It matches the Rfam family "Bacterial small subunit ribosomal RNA", at positions 355 to 617 of the family's 1533-position model. The record is from RNAcentral.